CGGCGAACGGGUGAGUAACACGUGAGGAACUUCGCCCCGGAGUACGGGAUAACUCGAGGAAACUCGAGCUAAUACCGUAUGCCCUCUUCUGGUCGCAUGGCCGGAUGAGGAAAGAUUCAUCGCUCCGGGAGAGCCUCGCGGCCUAUCAGCUAGUUGGUGGGGUAACGGCCCACCAAGGCAUCGACGGGUAGCUGGUCUGAGAGGACGAUCAGCCACACUGGGACUGAGACACGGCCCAGACUCCUACGGGAGGCAGCGGUGGGGAAUCUUGCGCAAUGGGCGAAAGCCUGACGCAGCAACGCCGCGUGCGGGAUGAAGGCCUUCGGGUUGUAAACCGCUUUCAGCAGGGAAGAAACUGACGGUACCUGCAGAAGAAGCCCCGGCCAACUACGUG
RNAcentral lists this ribosomal RNA (394 nucleotides) under uncultured bacterium. RNAcentral's name for it is "bacterial SSU rRNA". It matches the Rfam family "Bacterial small subunit ribosomal RNA", at positions 96 to 507 of the family's 1533-position model. The record is from RNAcentral.